UUUUAGUAUUGGAGAUUUUGUUACUUUGAGUAAAUUAGAGUGUUCAAAGCAAACAGUUAAAGCAUUUUACUGCGUUUGAAUACUACAGCAUGGAAUAACAAAAUUGAACAAGUCAGAAUUCUGUUCUUUUUUCUUAUUUUGGCUUAGUUACGAUUAAUAGGAGUAGCUUGGGGGCAUUUGUAUUCAGAUGUCAGAGGUGAAAUUCUUAGAUUUUCUGGAGACAAACAACUGCGAAAGCAUUUGCCUAAAAUACUUCCAUUAAUCAAGAACGAAAGUUAAGGGAGUGAAGACGAUCAGAUACCGUCGUAAUCUUAACCAUAAACUAUGCCGACUAGGUUUUGGAUGAAACAUUUUUAAAUAAGAAAAUUCCUUUCGGGGAAAUUUCUUAGAUUGCUUCCUUCAGUACCUUAUGAGAAAUCAAAGUCUUUGGGUUCUGGGGCGAGUAUUCGCGCAAGCGAGAGAGUUAAAAGAAUUGACGGAAGGGCACCACCAGGCGUGGAGCUUGCGGCUUAAUUUGACUCAACACGGGGAAACUCACUAGUUUAAGACAAGAGUAGGAUUGACAGAUUAAUAGCUCUUUCUUGAUUUCUUGGAUGGUGAUGCAUGGCCGUUUUUAGUUCGUGAAUAUGAUUUGUCUGGUUAACUCCGAUAACGAACGAGAUCUUAACCUGCUAAUUAGCGGCGAAUACGUCAGAUUCUUAUGCGAAAUUGAAUAUAGCUGAAUUUGCUUAUUUUGAAGAAUACACUAGGAUACA
This 755-nucleotide ribosomal RNA is filed under the name Plasmodium ovale (malaria parasite P. ovale). Its description in RNAcentral is "SSU rRNA". It matches the Rfam family "Eukaryotic small subunit ribosomal RNA", at positions 732 to 1432 of the family's 1831-position model. Lineage: Eukaryota; Apicomplexa; Aconoidasida; Haemosporida; Plasmodiidae. The record is from RNAcentral.